RNAcentral lists this ribosomal RNA (253 nucleotides) under uncultured bacterium. RNAcentral's name for it is "partial 16S ribosomal RNA". It matches the Rfam family "Bacterial small subunit ribosomal RNA", at positions 524 to 776 of the family's 1533-position model. The record is from RNAcentral.
UACGUAGGGUGCAAGCGUUAAUCGGAAUUACUGGGCGUAAAGCGUGCGCAGGCGGUUGUGCAAGACAGAUGUGAAAUCCCCGGGCUCAACCUGGGAAUUGCAUUUGUGACUGCACGGCUAGAGUGUGUCAGAGGGGGGUAGAAUUCCACGUGUAGCAGUGAAAUGCGUAGAGAUGUGGAGGAAUACCGAUGGCGAAGGCAGCCCCCUGGGAUAACACUGACGCUCAUGAACGAAAGCCAGGGGAGCAAACGGG